This 1774-nucleotide ribosomal RNA is filed under the name Escherichia coli. RNAcentral describes it as "partial 23S ribosomal RNA". It matches the Rfam family "Bacterial large subunit ribosomal RNA", at positions 398 to 2157 of the family's 2925-position model. Lineage: Bacteria; Pseudomonadati; Pseudomonadota; Gammaproteobacteria; Enterobacterales; Enterobacteriaceae. The record is from RNAcentral.
UGUGAGCUCGAUGAGUAGGGCGGGACACGUGGUAUCCUGUCUGAAUAUGGGGGGACCAUCCUCCAAGGCUAAAUACUCCUGACUGACCGAUAGUGAACCAGUACCGUGAGGGAAAGGCGAAAAGAACCCCGGCGAGGGGAGUGAAAAAGAACCUGAAACCGUGUACGUACAAGCAGUGGGAGCACGCUUAGGCGUGUGACUGCGUACCUUUUGUAUAAUGGGUCAGCGACUUAUAUUCUGUAGCAAGGUUAACCGAAUAGGGGAGCCGAAGGGAAACCGAGUCUUAACUGGGCGUUAAGUUGCAGGGUAUAGACCCGAAACCCGGUGAUCUAGCCAUGGGCAGGUUGAAGGUUGGGUAACACUAACUGGAGGACCGAACCGACUAAUGUUGAAAAAUUAGCGGAUGACUUGUGGCUGGGGGUGAAAGGCCAAUCAAACCGGGAGAUAGCUGGUUCUCCCCGAAAGCUAUUUAGGUAGCGCCUCGUGAAUUCAUCUCCGGGGGUAGAGCACUGUUUCGGCAAGGGGGUCAUCCCGACUUACCAACCCGAUGCAAACUGCGAAUACCGGAGAAUGUUAUCACGGGAGACACACGGCGGGUGCUAACGUCCGUCGUGAAGAGGGAAACAACCCAGACCGCCAGCUAAGGUCCCAAAGUCAUGGUUAAGUGGGAAACGAUGUGGGAAGGCCCAGACAGCCAGGAUGUUGGCUUAGAAGCAGCCAUCAUUUAAAGAAAGCGUAAUAGCUCACUGGUCGAGUCGGCCUGCGCGGAAGAUGUAACGGGGCUAAACCAUGCACCGAAGCUGCGGCAGCGACGCUUAUGCGUUGUUGGGUAGGGGAGCGUUCUGUAAGCCUGUGAAGGUGUGCUGUGAGGCAUGCUGGAGGUAUCAGAAGUGCGAAUGCUGACAUAAGUAACGAUAAAGCGGGUGAAAAGCCCGCUCGCCGGAAGACCAAGGGUUCCUGUCCAACGUUAAUCGGGGCAGGGUGAGUCGACCCCUAAGGCGAGGCCGAAAGGCGUAGUCGAUGGGAAACAGGUUAAUAUUCCUGUACUUGGUGUUACUGCGAAGGGGGGACGGAGAAGGCUAUGUUGGCCGGGCGACGGUUGUCCCGGUUUAAGCGUGUAGGCUGGUUUUCCAGGCAAAUCCGGAAAAUCAAGGCUGAGGCGUGAUGACGAGGCACUACGGUGCUGAAGCAACAAAUGCCCUGCUUCCAGGAAAAGCCUCUAAGCAUCAGGUAACAUCAAAUCGUACCCCAAACCGACACAGGUGGUCAGGUAGAGAAUACCAAGGCGCUUGAGAGAACUCGGGUGAAGGAACUAGGCAAAAUGGUGCCGUAACUUCGGGAGAAGGCACGCUGAUAUGUAGGUGAAGUCCCUUGCGGAUGGAGCUGAAAUCAGUCGAAGAUACCAGCUGGCUGCAACUGUUUAUUAAAAACACAGCACUGUGCAAACACGAAAGUGGACGUAUACGGUGUGACGCCUGCCCGGUGCCGGAAGGUUAAUUGAUGGGGUCAGCGCAAGCGAAGCUCUUGAUCGAAGCCCCGGUAAACGGCGGCCGUAACUAUAACGGUCCUAAGGUAGCGAAAUUCCUUGUCGGGUAAGUUCCGACCUGCACGAAUGGCGUAAUGAUGGCCAGGCUGUCUCCACCCGAGACUCAGUGAAAUUGAACUCGCUGUGAAGAUGCAGUGUACCCGCGGCAAGACGGAAAGACCCCGUGAACCUUUACUAUAGCUUGACACUGAACAUUGAGCCUUGAUGUGUAGGAUAGGUGGGAGGCUU